RNAcentral lists this transfer RNA (54 nucleotides) under Trichuris ovis. RNAcentral's name for it is "tRNA-Ala". Lineage: Eukaryota; Metazoa; Nematoda; Enoplea; Trichinellida; Trichuridae. The record is from RNAcentral.
GGGUUUAUAUUGUAAGUUGCAUUUCUUUUUUGCAGGAAGAAAGUUUAUAAUCCA